GCGCCCCUCCGCAGCGCCGUCACCCGCGCCGUGCACCUCGUGUGCCGCAUGGCGCCGCCCAUGGACCACGUGCAGCAGUGAGUAGCUAACAUCCGCCCCGCCCUCCCCGCGCCCCUCCGCAGCGCCGUCACCCGCGCCGUGCACCUCGUGUGCCGCAUGGCGCCGCCCAUGGACCACGUGCAGCAGUAAACGUCUCAUACGUAUGGUCAGUUAAGGUGAACAGAAAACUUUCUACAUCACUGUCGUUCUUUAUAUCGAAACUGCGCAUGUGUGCGUGUCUACACGUGUGUGUGUGUUCGUGAAUGUCUUCAGUUGCGAGUUACUUGACCAACACUUGUUCACCGCCACUUUUACAUAAUAUAAACAGGACGAAAAAAAACACUAAAAACAUUAUGUACAAAACGGCCACAUACUAUUACGUAUGUAUAUAAAAAAGUAUUUUUAACUUUUGUACAUUUUCAAAAUCUAAUUUAUAAAGUUACCUGUUUAUGAACUUUGAAAGAAAAAGUUAUUGUAUUCCGAACUCUCAGUAAUAUUAUUUGUCGAAAAACCACGCUGUGAAGGUCAACAUCCACUUGAAGGCGAUCAAAAAACACCGUCCACGCGGACUUAAUGUAAGAACAAACUAUCCAAACCAUUGCAGUACAAAAUCCCAUAUCCAGAUAUUUAGUUAUGGCAACACCGAGACGAGAGUGAGACAGCGUCAUAUCUCAAGUAAGACCUUUCAAGACUGCCAUUACUAAAUAAUCCAUCCGUACAAUGUAUUCCAAUGCAUUUCAUUUUGGUUGUUAAACUCAGUAUAAUUAUAUUGUAACGUAGGGGAUGUACUUUAUGUAUUUAAGUUUAAUUUCUAUUUAAUGUCGGUCCAAUUUUAUUUAAGACAUAAAGAAUGUUGAAUGUUUAUGUUAGACUGAUAAGUGAUUUCUUAUUCAAUGUAAGUUUUUAUGGUAAAGCGGAAUUGUCUGUCAGUAUUUUAUUUCGUCACAAUGGAAAUUGUCGUUGAGCGAGAAUACUAGAAGAGCCAUCUCUAAAAUGUAUCAAGUAUUUCUUUAAGGGCUGAUUUUUCAAUCAUCAGUUAACUUCUAUCUGAGGAAUAAAUAUGGCGGUUUGACAUAUUUUCCAUACAAAAGCUGUCAAAACGUCAAACAUAUUCCUCAGAUAACAGUUAUCCGGCGAUUGAAAAAUCAGCCCUAAAAUGAAUUUAUUUAUAUUGUUCUACUGGCCCUUCUAGUCGAAUAGUUCUAUGAUGGAUUCGACAUUCCAUUUGUGUCUAAUAUCAUAAUAAUUAUUAUUCCAAUCAUGGUUUCCAUUCUCAUUAUUAUUUAAAAUCCAUAAUUUCUAAGCGAGCACAUAUCUCUUUGGAAUUGAUGUAAAACUGCAAUUAAAUAUAAAUAAAAGUGACCUGUCACAUGUUAUUUUUGUGAAUCGUGUAUUCCAUAUUAAUUUGUUUAUGUUGUGUAUCGCCAGCGACAUUUUUGUAUUAGCAAUAAUUAUAAUGCACUUGGUUUGGGGUGAAUGUAGUCAGGUUUUUAAAUAAAUGUUGGUAUAAACGGUAA
Long non-coding RNA from Helicoverpa armigera (cotton bollworm), 1556 nucleotides. RefSeq lists it as uncharacterized. The transcript has 2 exons. NCBI's taxonomy places the organism in Eukaryota, Metazoa, Arthropoda, Insecta, Lepidoptera, Noctuidae. The record is from RefSeq and is a predicted model, not a curated record.